GAUGAACGCUGGCGGCGUGCCUAAUACAUGCAAGUCGAGCGAACAGACGAGGAGCUUGCUCCUCUGACGUUAGCGGCGGACGGGUGAGUAACACGUGGAUAACCUACCUAUAAGACUGGGAUAACUUCGGGAAACCGGAGCUAAUAACGGAUAAUAUAUUGAACCGCAUGGAUCAAUAGUGAAAGACGGUUUUGCUGUCACUUAUAGAUGGAUCCGCGCCGCAUUAGCUAGUUGGUAAGGUAACGGCUUACCAAGGCAACGAUGCGUAGCCGACCUGAGAGGGUGAUCGGCCACACUGGAGCUGAGACACGGUCCAGACUCCUACGGGAGGCAGCAGUAGGGAAUCUUCCGCAAUGGGCGAAAGCCUGACGGAGCAACGCCGCGUGAGUGAUGAAGGUCUUCGGAUCGUAAAACUCUGUUAUUAGGGAAGAACAAAUGUGUAAGUAACUAUGCACGUCUUGACGGUACCUAAUCAGAAAGCCACGGCUAACUACGUG
This 497-nucleotide ribosomal RNA is filed under the name uncultured bacterium. RNAcentral describes it as "partial 16S ribosomal RNA". It matches the Rfam family "Bacterial small subunit ribosomal RNA", at positions 28 to 507 of the family's 1533-position model. The record is from RNAcentral.